UGGAAGCGUCUGGAAAGGCGCGCGAUACAGGGUGACAGCCCCGUACACAAAAAUGCACAUAUUGUGAGCUCGAUGAGUAGGGCGGGACACGUGGUAUCCUGUCUGAAUAUGGGGGGCCCAUCCUCCAAGGCUAAAUACUCCUGACUGACCGAUAGUGAACCAGUACCGUGAGGGAAAGGCGAAAAGAACCCCGGCGAGGGGAGUGAAAAAGAACCUGAAACCGUGUACGUACAAGCAGUGGGAGCACGCUUAGGCGUGUGACUGCGUACCUUUUGUAUAAUGGGUCAGCGACUUAUAUUCUGUAGCAAGGUUAACCGAAUAGGGGAGCCGAAGGGAAACCGAGUCUUAACUGGGCGUUAAGUUGCAGGGUAUAGACCCGAAACCCGGUGAUCUAGCCAUGGGCAGGUUGAAGGUUGGGUAACACUAACUGGAGGACCGAACCGACUAAUGUUGAAAAAUUAGCGGAUGACUUGUGGCUGGGGGUGAAAGGCCAAUCAAACCGGGAGAUAGCUGGUUCUCCCCGAAAGCUAUUUAGGUAGCGCCUCGUGAAUUCAUCUCCGGGGGUAGAGCACUGUUUCGGCAAGGGGGUCAUCCCGACUUACCAACCCGAUGCAAACUGCGAAUACCGGAGAAUGUUAUCACGGGAGACACACGGCGGGUGCUAACGUCCGUCGUGAAGAGGGAAACAACCCAGACCGCCAGCUAAGGUCCCAAAGUCAUGGUUAAGUGGGAAACGAUGUGGGAAGGCCCAGACAGCCAGGAUGUUGGCUUAGAAGCAGCCAUCAUUUAAAGAAAGCGUAAUAGCUCACUGGUCGAGUCGGCCUGCGCGGAAGAUGUAACGGGGCUAAACCAU
This 853-nucleotide ribosomal RNA is filed under the name Shigella sonnei. RNAcentral's name for it is "partial 23S ribosomal RNA". It matches the Rfam family "Bacterial large subunit ribosomal RNA", at positions 333 to 1190 of the family's 2925-position model. The record is from RNAcentral. Lineage: Bacteria; Pseudomonadati; Pseudomonadota; Gammaproteobacteria; Enterobacterales; Enterobacteriaceae.